UACGGGGGGGGCAAGCGUUGUUCAGAAUUACUGGGCGUAAAGGGCGCGUAGGCGGUUUGCUAAGUUGGAUGUGAAAACUCUGGGCUUAACCCAGAGCCUGCAUCCAAAACUGGCAAACUUGAGUACUGGAGGGGAAAGCGGAAUUCCUGGUGUAGCGGUGAAAUGCGCAGAUAUCAGGAGGAACACCAAUUGCGAAGGCAGCUCGCUGGGACGUUACUGACGCUGAGACGCGAAAGCGUGGGGAGCAAACAGG
This 253-nucleotide ribosomal RNA is filed under the name uncultured bacterium. RNAcentral describes it as "partial 16S ribosomal RNA". It matches the Rfam family "Bacterial small subunit ribosomal RNA", at positions 524 to 776 of the family's 1533-position model. The record is from RNAcentral.